UACGUAGGGGGCUAGCGUUGUCCGGAAUCAUUGGGCGUAAAGAGCGUGUAGGCGGCUUGGUAAGUCCGCUGUGAAAGUCCAGGGCUCAACCCUGGAAUGCCAGUGGAUACUGUCAAGCUAGAGUCCGGAAGAGGCGAGUGGAAUUCCUGGUGUAGCGGUGAAAUGCGCAGAUAUCAGGAGGAACACCAAUGGCGAAGGCAGCUCGCUGGGACGGUACUGACGCGUGAGAACGCGGAAAGCGUGGG
Molecule: ribosomal RNA, 245 nt
Filed under: uncultured bacterium
Lineage: Bacteria
Description: partial 16S ribosomal RNA
Rfam family: Bacterial small subunit ribosomal RNA
Source: RNAcentral